RNAcentral lists this ribosomal RNA (231 nucleotides) under Triticum aestivum (bread wheat). Its description in RNAcentral is "partial small subunit ribosomal RNA". Lineage: Eukaryota; Viridiplantae; Streptophyta; Magnoliopsida; Poales; Poaceae. The record is from RNAcentral.
AUGACACCGAAGCUGUAAACAUCACUUUUUUCUGUGAGUCUCCCUGUGCAGAAAUACAUAGGGUCUAAAUACCCUAUUGUGCCCUGCACCAUCGUUGUUGCACCUGAUUUAUCCACUGGAAUAUACCUUGAUGCUCCAAAAUCUGCUACCUUUGAGGCUAGAGUAUCAUCCAGAAGUAUGUUAGCGGACUUAAUAUCUCUAUGGAUGAUAGGUAUUGAUACAGUUGUGUGA